GAGAGAUAAGAAAGAAUUAAUAGAGAGAGAUCCUUUGGACAUUUCAAGGUUGUCGUUUCUCUCUCUUGCUCUUGAGCUUUUUGAGGGGAGAAAGAGAGAUGGGAAGGGGUAGGGUUCAGCUGGAGAGGAUAGAAAACAAGAUCAAUAGGCAAGUUACUUUCUCAAAAAGAAGGUCUGGUUUGCUCAAGAAAGCUCAUGAGAUCUCUGUUCUCUGCGAUGCUGAGGUUGCUCUCGUUAUCUUCUCUUCCAAAGGCAAACUCUUCAAAUAUUCCACCGACUCUUGAGGAAUCAUCAGUGUUCCCACAUAUUACACGAAGUUGACAGCAACUUACAUGAAGACUCUCCCCGUUCAUGUUUUGAUUAAUAGGUAUGUUUUCAGGUUCAAGGGCAUUUUGGAGUAAAGUGACGUUUUAGGUGCCAUUAUGGAGCUUAAAGGAGAGUUUUCCCGAGAUGACUAUAAAAUCAGACGUUAAGGUCGACAUCCAGAGAUACAUAUCGAUCGAUACACAUCCUGUGUAAUCGAUCGACGACGCAUCCGAAGAAACGAUGACGAGAUACCCCAUCGAUCGAUGUACGCCUAGUACUAUCGAUCGAUAUCGAGCGUGCAGAAGAAUAAUAAAUAUUCUCAAUCGACUUGAAGCCCAAGAUUUCCCAUUAUUACAAUAAUGCCCCUGACGAGUUUUUAACCUAAUUGAACUCAGUAUUUAUACCUUUGCCUAUGUGUUUUGGCAAAGUAUGCUUUUUACGCUUCUUAUUCUUUUACUUGC
Brassica oleracea var. oleracea is the source of this 767-nucleotide long non-coding RNA. RefSeq lists it as uncharacterized. Lineage: Eukaryota; Viridiplantae; Streptophyta; Magnoliopsida; Brassicales; Brassicaceae. The record is from RefSeq and is a predicted model, not a curated record. The transcript is spliced from 3 exons.